GAUGAACGCUGGCGGCGUGCCUAAUACAUGCAAGUAGAACGCUGAAGGAAGGAGCUUGCUCUUUCCGGAUGAGUUGCGAACGGGUGAGUAACGCGUAGGUAACCUGCCUGGUAGCGGGGGAUAACUAUUGGAAACGAUGGCUAAUACCGCAUAACAGUAGAUGUUGCAUGAUAUCUACUUAAAAGGUGCAAUUGCACCACUACCAGAUGGACCUGCGUUGUAUUAGCUAGUUGGUGAGGUAACGGCUCACCAAGGCGACGAUACAUAGCCGACCUGAGAGGGUGAUCGGCCACACUUGGACUGAGACACGGCCCAGACUCCUACGGGAGGCAGCAGUAGGGAAUCUUCGGCAAUGGACGGAAGUCUGACCGAGCAACGCCGCGUGAGUGAAGAAGGUUUUCGGAUCGUAAAGCUCUGUUGUAAGAGAAGAACGAGUGUGAGAGUGGAAAGUUCACACUGUGACGGUAUCUUACCAGAAAGGGACGGCUAACUACGUG
Molecule: ribosomal RNA, 497 nt
Filed under: uncultured bacterium
Lineage: Bacteria
Description: partial 16S ribosomal RNA
Rfam family: Bacterial small subunit ribosomal RNA
Source: RNAcentral